RNAcentral lists this ribosomal RNA (253 nucleotides) under uncultured bacterium. RNAcentral's name for it is "partial 16S ribosomal RNA". It matches the Rfam family "Bacterial small subunit ribosomal RNA", at positions 524 to 776 of the family's 1533-position model. The record is from RNAcentral.
UACGUAGGUGGCAAGCGUUGUCCGGAAUUACUGGGCGUAAAGGGCGCGUAGGCGGCUUACCAAGUCAGGCGUGAAAUUCCCGGGCUCAACCUGGGGGCUGCGCUUGAUACUGGUGAGCUUGAAUGCGGGAGAGGAUAGUGGAAUUCCCAGUGUAGAGGUGAAAUUCGUAGAUAUUGGGAAGAACACCGGUGGCGAAGGCGGCUAUCUGGCCCGUAAUUGACGCUGAGGCGCGAAAGCGUGGGGAGCAAACAGG